AGUGCAAAGACGUAUGUUUUACAGUUCACUUCUACAACCCUAUGAAGUUAUUCACCUUGUGAAGAAGCACUGGAGAUUUCCUAAUAUGAACCAUUAAGGCAACUGCCACAAAGAGAGAUGGGUGGGAGAAGAGGGUUCUAGAAGCUGAGUGCUUUUUCCUGUGUUCCACGUGCUCUCCACCACCUCCAGAUUUCACCCCCUGCUUCACUGAUAGAUUUGCUGCCUGUGGCUUUGGCAAACUUCUUUUUAUUUUCAUAUCAGUGUUGUAAUAAAAGUUUAGCAUUUUUGAUUUGCUGAUCACAUUCUUCCUUGUGACAAUGGCCAAUAUUUGAUUGUCUCCAUUAUACUGGUUUCACUGUGUAUGCCCUGAAAGAUACAGGAUGAAUGUCACAAAUCAUGUUCUUUUUUUCUUUUAAGUGUUUUUCAGUUUGGAGCAAUAAAGCCUUCAUUCUUCAAGUGAUAUUUUCAGAUACACUUGUCUUUGUUUUUUGCUUUAUUUCUAGGCUAUCUCAUAUUUUUAGGCUUUUAUUCUCUCAAUAGUUUUGGAAAUACUUAUGAUUUCUAGAACCUGCUUCUUAAUACAUCAUGACAUCUUUAAAGUGUUGCAAUACCAUGACAGCAAAAAUGUGGGGAAAACCUUCUAAGUAGCAGUUAGCAAUUUGUCCUAAAUAGUCCUUCAGCAUUUUUUUACACAUCACCCACUAUCACCUUUUAUUUUUCCCAGUUCACUGUAGCUUUUCUAUGAUACAACUUUUUGCUUAUUUCUAGCACAUUAAAGAUUCCAGGAGAAUAAAAUAUGUUUCCAGAUAAAAUAAGAGUCUUGCUCUCUUGGGAAAUGCAGACCCAGUAAGAAUGAGACAGAUCCCUUUUGUUUGAUGUUGGUUGCUCUUCUGGGAUCACUUACUGAUUCCAUCUGUAGUUAUUUCUCUUUAUUAAAUGCCUGAGUAUUGAAUCACAAACAGACUGCUUUUGAUACAACUGGAAAAUGUGAAUGCUUGUGCUUAACUUUAGGUUUUUUGUGUGUUUUUUCUUAUAGUCUCACAUUAGGUUUCAUUCAUCCAUUCACUUAACAUUUAUGGAACACCCAAGGGGCUGUGGGAGGGUGUUGGCACAACUCUACAAUCUGGAAGAAAUGAAGAGACACGGGGAGCCUGACAAACACAAAGAAAAAUAGCCCUGUAUUCCUUGUUUGGGAGGGACCUAUUCUUUUUGGUAUCAUAGAUAAGAAAGAGCAUUGAAGGAGAAGCUCCCUUUCACUUUAAAGGGUGUUUUGUGCAUAUAUAAGACUCCCGGAGGGGCCAGAGAGAAAAGAUUUAGAUUCUAAUGAGAGUGGGUGAGGCUGAAUGUAACAGAGAAAAAGUCUGAUGUUAAAAAUAUCUCAACAGGAAUAAACAAACAGCAUCAGCUGUGUCUCAUUAUACAGUCUGUGAAGGCUGUAGAGGGUAGGCUGGGGAAGAAAAGGGUUGAUCCAGAAGUGAAAUAAACACUGAUUAAUAUUUGGAAUGCAUGAGGGAUUCACAAUCUAAAUAGAAACAAAAGCAUGAUCUCUGUGCUGCUGGAUUUGGGAUCAGCCAGAAACAGGAGUGAGCUGUAACCUCCUACUGCACUGGUGACUCUCAAGAGUAUAAACAAGACCACUCCAAAAGUAGCAAUGAAACUCCUAGAGACCAACAAAGUAUCACAUAGCGAGUUAUUUUCUUACUGCUUUAUGAAGUAGCUUACAAUUGCAUCCAGUUAUUACAAAGAGACAUUGCAGUAGGGGAAAAACAAUUUUUAGAAGUCUAUUGUGGUAGAGCUUUAACUCAUAAAAAUAAAAUCCUGCUACAAUAAAAACAUAAAUGGACAUAAGCUACAAUUAUAAAUUAAGUAAUUUUCUUAAGUAAAUAUUACUUUAUGCUCACAGAUAAUUGUAGAGAUAGAUUCCUUGAGAAUUUAAAGUCCUUGCUCAGGUAUCUAAGCAAGUAUAAAAAUGUGUAAGGAGUUUCUUCCCCAGCCCAUUUUCAACACUUUUCUAAAUUGUAUGUAGGUACUUUAGCUUUCAUGAGACUCUAUAUGUAGUCUGUCAUUUUACUGUGAAAAUCUCAAUUGCUUUCAGAUCUGGAAAAGACAUGUUCUAAACUUAUAGCCUAAGUUCUAAAAAAACAACUAAAAAAAUUCUGUAGAGUUAUAUAUUCAUUCCUUAUAUUUUGCAGAGGAUUGGAUUUCUACUUUAUUAUAGCAAUGCCAACGUAUGUAGGUAAGAGCUAUUAGAUAUUGGGUAUUUUAAAGAAAAUUAGGAACUGAUGCAGAAGCAAAAUAAGUAGAGAACAUUAUUAACAUGUGAAAAAAGAAGAAAAGAACAGAGAAAUGGCAGCAAACCCAAUAAACAAACAUAUAAUUUUGGUAAGCCUCAGUGCCACCACAACUACUGAAAUGUAACCAUAUACACUUUUACCUCCACAAACCACAGUAAUUAUAAUGAAUAUAUUUUAAAUGAUUCCAAUUUGGGAGACAGUGAACUACAUCAAAGUUUUUUUUCUGAUAUGUACAUUUGCUAUUUUGAAAUCUCCACCCUAAAUUGUAUAAAUCAAUUCAAUUUCUACGAAGUAAAAUACUACUGCAAGUACUGUAAUUUCUCAAAAUGGAGCCAAUGCAUGCUGAUACAAAUCACAACUAAUUUAAAAAAAAUUCUAUGUUAAUAUUAGGCAUUUUCAAAUAUAGGAAUAUUUUACCCAAAGCAUACAUUCUAGAAAACAUAAAUCCUAGAUAAAUCAGUUGCAUAUUAGUUUCUUGUGAUGAAUUACCACAAACUUAGUGGUGUUUAUUUUUUCACAGUUCUGGAGGCUAAAGGAUCACUGGACUGAAACCAGGGUCUUGGAAGAGCGCCCCCUCUGGAGGCUCCAGGAAAGAAUCUAUUUUUUACCUCUUCUAGCUUUUGGUGGUUGCUGGCUUUCCUUGGCUUGUAGCCACAACACUUUAAUCUUCAAGGCCAGAAUCUUCCAAUCUCUGCUCCAUCUUCACAGAGUCUUCUGUGUGUGUCAAAUUUCUUUUGCCUCCUUAUCAUAAAGAUAGGUAUAAUUGCAUCUAGGGUCCAGCCAAAUAAUCCAGGAUAAUCCUCAUAAUUCAAUAUCUUUAACUUAAUCACAUGUGCAAACACUUCUUUUUUUUCCCCCCAUAUAGUCCCAGGAAUUUGAACAUGAAUACCUGUUAGGGAGCUAUUUUUCAGCCUACCUUAGACCUCAAUGGGAGAGACCUAAUGUUAACAGGAAAAGAUGUGUGCAAUAAUAAAUACUUGACAACUACUGUGUGCUAGCACUAUGCUAGGCAGAGAUGAUGUGACUGAAACAAGACAGUUAAUUGUCCCUGUCUCCGUAGAGUUUACCAACCUGGAGGGCCUGAUAGCAUCCAUUUCUCCACCAAGUAGGUAGAAAGAACAUUUUUAGAGACUGGGGAUAGUUGGUAGGAAGUUUGAAAAAUAUAGGGAAGGCUGGAAAUCACUGUUGAAUGAAAGUAGAGACAAAAACAUGGGACAAAUAGGAUUUCUGGGACCAUCAGAGGGUCCAAAUAUAGUUACCAUUAGUGUUCAUAUAUUUCUAAUUCUUCCCCUUCUGAGCUCAUAGCUGACUUUCAUCUACUAUCUCUGUAUAACUAUUUCCAGCUGAUGAAUUAACAGACAAACUAAGUGUUACCACUGGAGGAAGUUUUAAUUGCCAGUGGAAAAUCCUCCAGAAUUCUUUUCCUCUGUCACAACAAUAAAGACAUAUUCCAAGCAGUGGGUACUUUGUCGUGCUGGAUUUCAUGUUUGACAUGGAGGAGAAUGGCUAGCCUAUCAGCAAUGAACAUGCAGUGUGAACAAGCAGUAUGCCUUUGCUUUAAGCUAAUUUGAGAUUAUGUAUUAUUUCAGCCUAACCUAGCUUAUCCUUUCUGAUAUAUCAGAUAUAGUUAGAAACCAGGACAUUUGUAAGAUGAAUUAUUUGGUUUUCUUUGUCAAUUUUCAGAAGGAGGCACAGUCCCUGAUGGAGGAGUUUAUUUAGGGUUGAUAAUGUGUCAGGAGAGGAUUGAGAAGGACAGAAGACAAAGUAUAAUCAGUUACAAAACUCUUAGCUUUAGAAUUUUAUUGUCGUUGAAUCUAAUUCUAUAGUUAAAAACAAUAAUAAUAACAUCCACCUAAUUUGAUGCAAUAUUGGAGAAUUUAAAACUAUGAAAAAAUACAUUAUCUCCAUGGAUCCUCAUAUUAACUCUUUGAAUUAGAUGACACUUUUUCCCUUUUAUGAGAUGAAGAAACUGUGGUGUGGUGAUGGCGUGUCUGUUUUCCAAAGUCUGGCUCUUUAGUUAGCAGUGCUUGUAUGUAACUCAUUCUUACUGUACUAGGUUCUAGGGAUGGAAUCCUGGUGCUGAGAAGAGUUUAUAGUGAAGGAAUCAGUGCUAGUACCAGAUCUCAUGGUCAUAUGGCAGAAUUGGGACAAAGAUUUUCUGUCUUCUAGAGAAAUCACAGUUCUUUUAAUUUCAGUUUCCAUUUUUAGUCAUUAUGCCAUGUGUCCUCUUAAGUACUAUAAACCCUAAUUCAGAUGGCAGGAGAGGAUGAUGAGGCCGUGAAUAUGGAGACUCAAUCAGUUCCUCUCUCAGCUCAUCACUCUCUUGCUAUUAUCAAGGUUUUAGAGCACUUUCUGAAUUAAACCAAUAGUGCUGUUAGGUUUACAUGUGCUGUGUAGAUUUGGUAUGAAAUAGCGGAAAAAUAUGUAUAUAUAGUUUUUUGUCUGUGCCUGUGGCAUGUGGAAGUUCCAGGGACAGGGUGCAAACCUGUGCUGCUGCAGUGACAACACAGGAUACUUACUUAGCUCUUGGAUUAAACUGCAAGUAUAAGAGCUAGAAAAUCCUAUGCUUCCAGCUUUGUGCUGAAUUCUAAUACUAAAACUUCUUGCAAGUCACUCAGUUCACUGAUGGUAGAAACAAAUAGCUUUCAUAUACCUUUAAAAUCUGAAGUUAAUCAAGGCUGAGUACUAAGUCACUAGGUGGUUGAAUUUCUGUAUCUUCUGUGAAUAUUUCUUUUGUCAUUUCAUUUAGAAACCAAAUAUAAUUUUGUUAUUAGAAUUAUAAAAAUGUAGCUCCUGAAUUCUGUUUCAGUUGCUGACAUGUAUCAUUAUGGAGAGAAGAAUUAUACUUUCUCAGCAAUCUAUACAGAACUAAUGGCCUCACCACUCUCUGGUGGCAGCUUAAUGAAAUGCAAGUGCAAGUAUCAGAAUCUUUGUAGUUGGGUAUGGAAAUAUUAAUGAAGCUUGUGAUCUAAAUUUGGGAGUUGUGGACAUUUGGAUGUUCACAAAGAUCCAUAACAAUUGUUGAGAUCUUUUAGAGAAAGUGCAGUGCUUAAAAGGAGAGGGAAACCUAGGACACAUCUCUGAAAAACUCCAAUAUUUAAGAGGAGUACAAGAGGAGAUUUAGAAAGGUAUUGUGAAAGAUGUAGGCUGGCAGCUACAGCUCUGAUUUGAUCCCUAGCCUGGAAACCUCUGUAUGCCGUGGUAUGGCCAG
RNAcentral lists this long non-coding RNA (5505 nucleotides) under Sus scrofa (pig). Its description in RNAcentral is "lncRNA (ENSSSCG00000057916.1)". Lineage: Eukaryota; Metazoa; Chordata; Mammalia; Artiodactyla; Suidae. The record is from RNAcentral.